Leptonychotes weddellii (Weddell seal) is the source of this 1118-nucleotide long non-coding RNA. RefSeq lists it as uncharacterized. NCBI's taxonomy places the organism in Eukaryota, Metazoa, Chordata, Mammalia, Carnivora, Phocidae. The record is from RefSeq and is a predicted model, not a curated record.
CUGACCUGCGCGCUGGAACCCGCCGCGGAAGUGGGUGGGUGGAAACGUGGCUUCCGGAUGCCAGGCUGUCCCCUCCUGCAGAUCAUGUUGAAGAUUCUGAAGCAGUAAAAAUUUCAAUGACAAGCAAGAGGUGGUAAAAAUACUGGGGUUGAAACUGCCCAACAAUCUGAGCUAUCUGGUUUUGGAGAGCUAUCCUGGUGAUUAUCCAACAUUGACCAGCAACCUCCUGGUCCAUUACUCCAGCUGACUUGUUAGCAUUUGAUAGACUUUUGAGAUAUUAUCUGUAAAUUAAGAAAUGAUCUCAACUCUGAAGAAGAGUGAAGUUGUCCCUUUUUGGUAUUGUUGAAGCCGCUGCCUGUGCAGAUACCAUGGAGUAAGAAGACCUAUAAUGAAGAGUAAAUCUAAAUGUCUGGUCCAUUGAGAAUGUAUUUAUGCCAAUGUGAAGCAUUUUCUGUGUCUUUUUCUCUUUCCUUCCCCUCUUUUUUUCCUUCCCUCCUUCCUUUUUUUUUUUUGUCUUUUGUACAUUUCAAUGUAUAAACAAAAUAGUGACUUAGAAGACAAUAGGCUUAACAACACUUCCCAAACAUGGAUGUUAAGAAUUCAACAUUUUGUCUCUAUGAAAUAUUAGUGCACAAGAAGAUAGUGAAAAGUUAAAAUAAAAUCUGUUCCAAUCUAUGAGACAUCUGUGCAACUCCACCUACUAUGUAGCAAGGUAUCUAUCACUUUUUUCUUAAAUCUUUCUAUAAUUUUGUAUAAUUCUAAUAACCCUUAUUUUUAAAACAUUUCUGGCUUGGUAAGUUAUGUGUUGGCUUCUUGGGGAAAGGCCAUAAAAUAACAAAUAUUUCCUAAACCUUAAAUAUAUUCACAAUAAAAUAUAUUUUGCCUUAAGGACAUAGGAAAAUAAACUUUUUUGGAUGAAAGAUUACUGUCACACUUUUUCCUUCAUAACCCCUACAUCUUCUAUUAUUUCUUUCUCCAAAUUUCAGACAAAAUGAAGUUGUAAUUACAAAGUUACAAUAUAGAGCUAGUGAGAGCUAAACCAAAUAAAAUUCACAUUCUCAAGACUAGAAACCAAAAAGUUUUUAAAAGCAAUUUGACCAUUAAACUUAUUUAUGAAA